AAAAUGACUCUCAACAACGAAUAUCUUGGCUCUCGCAUCAAUAAAAAACGAACCAAAAGGCAAUACUUGGGGUGAAUUGCAAAAUCCCGGGAACCAUCAAUUUUUUGAACGCAAGUUGCGCCGGAACCUAUUAGGUUGAGGGCACGUCGGCCGGGGCGCCUCGC
This 164-nucleotide ribosomal RNA is filed under the name Impatiens umbellata. Its description in RNAcentral is "5.8S ribosomal RNA". It matches the Rfam family "5.8S ribosomal RNA". Rfam says of the family: 5.8S ribosomal RNA (5.8S rRNA) is a component of the large subunit of the eukaryotic ribosome. It is transcribed by RNA polymerase I as part of the 45S precursor that also contains 18S and 28S rRNA. The record is from RNAcentral. Lineage: Eukaryota; Viridiplantae; Streptophyta; Magnoliopsida; Ericales; Balsaminaceae.